UGGGGAAUAUUGGGCAAUGGGCGAAAGCCUGAUCCAGCCAUGCCGCGUGUGUGAAGAAGGCCUUCGGGUUGUAAAGCACUUUUGUUGGGAAAGAAAUCCUGUCGGCCAAUACCCGGCGGGGAUGACGGUACCCAAAGAAUAAGCACCGGCUAACUUCGUGCCAGCAGCCGCGGUAAUACGAAGGGUGCAAGCGUUACUCGGAAUUACUGGGCGUAAAGCGUGCGUAGGCGGUUCGUUAAGUCUGUCGUGAAAGCCCUGGGCUCAACCUGGGAAUUGCGAUGGAUACUGGCGAGCUAGAGUACGAUAGAGGAUGGUGGAAUUCCCGGUGUAGCGGUGAAAUGCGUAGAGAUCGGGAGGAACACCCGUGGCGAAGGCGGCCAUCUGGACCAGUACUGACGCUGAGGCACGAAAGCGUGGGGAGCAAACA
This 427-nucleotide ribosomal RNA is filed under the name uncultured bacterium. RNAcentral's name for it is "bacterial SSU rRNA". It matches the Rfam family "Bacterial small subunit ribosomal RNA", at positions 355 to 774 of the family's 1533-position model. The record is from RNAcentral.